GCGCGCGUGGCGGAACUGGCAGACGCGCCAGGUUUAGGUCCUGGUGGGAAACCGUGGGGGUUCGAGUCCCUCCGCGCGCACCA
RNAcentral lists this transfer RNA (83 nucleotides) under Eubacteriales Family XIII. Incertae Sedis bacterium. RNAcentral's name for it is "tRNA-Leu". It matches the Rfam family "tRNA". From Rfam's summary of the family: Transfer RNA (tRNA) molecules are approximately 80 nucleotides in length. Their secondary structure includes four short double-helical elements and three loops (D, anti-codon, and T loops). Lineage: Bacteria; Bacillati; Bacillota; Clostridia; Peptostreptococcales; Anaerovoracaceae. The record is from RNAcentral.